AGCAGCCGCGGUAAUUCCAGCUCCAAUAGCGUAUAUUAAAGUUGUUGCAGUUAAAAAGCUCGUAGUUGAAUUUCGGGGUCAGUAGGUCGGUCGUGCCACUGGUAUGAACUGGUCUCACUGGUUCCUCCUUCUUGAAGAACCGUAAUGUCAUUAACUUGGUGUUGCGGGGAAACAGGACUGUUACCUUGAAAAAAUUAGAGUGUUUAAAGCAGGCUAGCGCCUGAAUACAUUAGCAUGGAAUAAUGAAAUAGGACGUUCGAUCCUAUUUUGUUGGUUUCUAGGAUUGACGUAAUGAUUAAUAGGGAUAGUUGGGGGCAUUAGUAUUCAAUUGUCAGAGGUGAAAUUCUUGGAUUUAUUGAAGACUAACUACUGCGAAAGCAUUUGCCAAGGAUGUUUUCAUUAAUCAAGAACGAAAGUUAGGGGAUCGAAGACGAUCAGAUACCGUCGUAG
This 450-nucleotide ribosomal RNA is filed under the name uncultured Glomeromycotina. RNAcentral's name for it is "SSU rRNA". It matches the Rfam family "Eukaryotic small subunit ribosomal RNA", at positions 569 to 1023 of the family's 1831-position model. Lineage: Eukaryota; Fungi; Glomeromycota. The record is from RNAcentral.